Molecule: ribosomal RNA, 433 nt
Filed under: uncultured bacterium
Lineage: Bacteria
Description: partial 16S ribosomal RNA
Rfam family: Bacterial small subunit ribosomal RNA
Source: RNAcentral
AACGAACGCUGGCGGCAUGCCUAACACAUGCAAGUCGAACGAGACCUUCGGGUCUAGUGGCGCACGGGUGCGUAACGCGUGGGAACCUGCCCUUAGGUUCGGAAUAACUCCCCGAAAGGGGUGCUAAUACCGGAUAAUGUCUUCGGACCAAAGAUUUAUCGCCUUUGGAUGGGCCCGCGUUGGAUUAGCUAGUUGGUAGUGUAAAAGCCUACCAAGGCGACGAUCCAUAGCUGGUCUGAGAGGAUGAUCAGCCACACUGGGACUGAGACACGGCCCAGACUCCUACGGGAGGCAGCAGUGGGGAAUAUUGGACAAUGGGCGAAAGCCUGAUCCAGCAAUGCCGCGUGAGUGAUGAAGGCCUUAGGGUUGUAAAGCUCUUUUACCCGGGAUGAUAAUGACAGUACCGGGAGAAUAAGCUCCGGCUAACUCCGUG